GUCUGGGUUGCUAUGUUUAGCUCUCAUCUCUCUCAUUGUUUCACAGUUCCUUGCUCUGCUAGAAUGUAAGUUUCUUAAGGAUAAUUAUGACAUCAUAUUUCUCUACCCCAGAAACCAGCUGUAGCCCCAGAGACUCUGAAAGGUUUAUUCAAUGAAUAUAUAAAGCCAAGGAUGGAUAAAUCAAUUGUUCAGCAUGAUUAAAUUUAAGCAAAAUUAAAAAUUAGCAAUUAAUAUUGGAAAUAUGAACAAACAUGAGACCUGAUGAUUGUUUUUUAGACUCACUGAGCAUCAAUUUGAUGAGGUGAGGAAAUCGAGGUUUAGAGACUAAAGGAACUGGUUUUAGACCAAGGAAGUCUACCCUGGUACCUCUGUUUCAAUGAUGCCGAUGCUACAGUUUUUUGCAUGUGAUUCCUAUUUAAAGCUAGGCAUUUUGGAAUAAUCUUCGAACAUAUCCAGGAUGAUAAAUACACUUCAAAGCUUCCAUUUCUUUCUGCAAAGGUGGCAGAAUCUCAGGUGUGAGUCAUAACACAUUCUUUGUCAUAAAUAAUUAAUAUUUAUGGAGUUCCUGCUCUACCAUUUGGGUUGAAUGUGUUAGAGAUACAUGGGUUACCAUAUGAAGGAGAUAAAUGUUAUCAGAUGAAAGCAAAAGUGAUGCUGAUAGAGUGUAGAUAGGUAGAUAACUAUACACGGUAACCUCUGCUCACUAUUAGAUAAGAGGUACAAACUUUUGACUCCCUAAUGCUUCUAUUGAUCUUAGCCAAUCUACAUAAAUAUCAUCCAGUAACACUUUAGAUGAACUAUUCUUACAUUUAUUUCUUUUCCCACCUUUCUUUCUGGAUCACAUUACUUCCUUCUGGGAUCCUUUCUUCCUGAAGUACAUUCUCAGUAAACUUGAUAGGUCUUGCUUAGAGCUCAGGAUAAGACAUUUUAAAAAAAAGCCUUUUGGUAAUUGUGAUCCCAGAAGCCAUCAGGGUUGUGGGGAUCACGUGAGGAAGAGUAAGCUAUGGCUGAGGUUGUUGGAGGGACUUGAAGAGGGGUUGGGGUUUAGAGUAACCCUUGAUGGCAUGGGCAUCGUGGAUUAGAAGAAAAAAGGAGAAAACUUACUUUUUGGAAGGAACGAGAGGGGUGAGGAAGUGACAGCAGGAGGAGAGGAAUGAUGAAGGGCCCUGAGGCACUGAAUGCAUCCCAGUGGAUCUGGAAAGAGGAUCCAUAGUUGAGUCUCACUGGGCUGAAGGAAACUCCUGGGUGCUGAGUGAUGGGAAGAAGAAUUUUGUUGUCUCUUCCAUGGAGGAGAUACAUAGCAGAAUGGUUAUGAGUCUAUACCAUGAGUCAGACUAGUCUGGCCUUAAAUCCCUGCUGUAAAAUUUAUGUGGCUUUGAAUGAGUUAGUUAACCUCUGCAGGGGUUUUUCCCUCUCUAAAAUGUCAUAAUAGCUCCUACCACGGAGGGUUAUUAUAGAGAUUAAGUGAGAAAAUGCAUCUUUACUUUUUAGAACACUGACUCUCAAUAAGGUCUCAUUAAAUGUGAUUAUUAUUGCUGCUAUUUUAUUGAAAGUUAUACUGUGGAUAAGCUCAAUUUCUUCCUUUAAAUAUUUGCAGGUUUCAUGCAUAAAAACUGACCUUGAUUGCCAACCCUAUCUCGGAAGCGUCUCUGAGCUGGUUCUAACUGAGGUCUCAUCAGCUGUUGAGUCCUUAGAUGUUGCUCCCCGUCUUCGUGGAGGAACGACACAGGACCCUGCGCUGUUCUUUUGUCUGCUCGGCCCUCCCCAGAUGCUGAAUCUAAGAUCCGCAGGGAUGCAGGAAACUUGCCCAGAAACUUCAACCAGAGGUCACCUGGAGCACCUUUCUGGGUAACGUAUCUUGGCCUUCAUUCAUUAUGAGAAGAGGACUCCAGUCUAGGUGAUCUCUCUACCGACUCAGAUAUUUACCAGGUCCGUGACUCUUGCAGAAUCUCCGCUAGUGCUCAAGGUGAGGACAUGAAUGAUUUUGGUGAAAUGCAGAAUAUAGAUCAGCAUUACAGCAGAGGGAAAUGGACUAUUGUGGAAGGAUGAAAGUACCAAAGACAUUUUUCUUGUUACUAUUUAAGUAUUUUUUCCUCGGUCUGUUUUCUUGACUGCAGAUUAUUUGAAUACAGUGUCCACAUGUGAAUAAACUACCUCACCUGUACACGGUACCCUUCUCACCACCUCCCUUGUCAGGCCAAGCAGUCAGGAUAGACACAGGUGAAAACUUCGUGAACUCAAAGGAACUUCUGUUUCUAUUUCUUACACAUAAAAGUGUUGUCUACACAUACAUCUUGCUCAUUCUACUUAGUCAGGAUGGAAGUUAAAUCACACCAAAAUAUAAUGGUGUACCUAUAAUGUGCUGUCACAGGGUCGCAUUUCCUAACUCCACAGUGUCAGAGCCAGCACAGCACCACUCCUGCCUCUUCCAGUUCUUUCUCAGCUUCGCCAGGGGGUCCUUGCCUCACUCCACCUGCCUUAGUGCUGCUCCUGCCAUUUCCUUGUGAUGCCAUCGUUUCGCCUGCAGUUGGUUUUCCUCUCCUGAAAACAUGACCUGGGGAUGAGCCCUUCUCUGAAUUCCCCCAGCCUUCUACCUCCAGUCUCCUACACCUGCCAGGCUAUCAGUCUGCAUUUUAUGUGUUCAUUGUAAGUUCUUUUUUAUUUCCCUUUGAGGAAUCUGGGUAAUUUUGCUAGUGAAUGGGGUAGAAGUUGCGUUAUAGAGGAUCAGUUAUCACUGCUCCACGCUUCUGUGGCAAACUAAUCCACUCAACUUUGGGGGUGCUGCCUUUUGUAUUUCCUUUCAGUCCGACUAAAUCCACCUUAGAGCCUCAUCCCACAAAGAUGGGAAAGAAUGAAAGCUCAGAUUUCUUUGAGGAUUCUACAAUCAAAGGAGUGCUUAGGCCCAGGAUUCUAACACUCACAGGGCUAGUCCAGGAGCAGCAUUCCUUAACCAAGAUGUGAAGAGAAGCCCUCAAGGUAAGUUAUUAUUGAAAAAAACAAAAUCAAACACUAAAACGAUAACAUAGUAAGGGCACCAUCCCAGGGCUCUGCCCACUCCGCUAUGCUGUUAUGUCUGAGUGCCUGUUCCCCCACAUCUGUGUUGCCUGUGGUCUGCACCAGAGGAAAUGAUGCUGUAACACAGGACCAGAGAACUCACUGUUGUUUAUCACUCACAACUCAGUCUUCACGUUACCAUGGUAGGUAGGGACUAUUAUUUUUUGCCAUUUUACAGAAUCAGAAAUGUGGGCCUACGUUAUGUCAUAGUGGGUUAAGCCACAGUCUGCGAGGCUGGCAUCCCAUAUGGGCACUGGUUGGAGACCUGGCUGCUCCACUUCCAAUCCAAGUUCCUGCUUAUGUGCCUGGGA
Molecule: non-coding RNA, 3365 nt
Organism: Oryctolagus cuniculus (rabbit)
Lineage: Eukaryota; Metazoa; Chordata; Mammalia; Lagomorpha; Leporidae
Source: RefSeq, a predicted model, not a curated record